This 465-nucleotide ribosomal RNA is filed under the name Vreelandella stevensii. Its description in RNAcentral is "partial 16S ribosomal RNA". It matches the Rfam family "Bacterial small subunit ribosomal RNA", at positions 338 to 795 of the family's 1533-position model. The record is from RNAcentral. Lineage: Bacteria; Pseudomonadati; Pseudomonadota; Gammaproteobacteria; Oceanospirillales; Halomonadaceae.
CCUACGGGAGGCUGCAGUGGGGAAUAUUGGACAAUGGGGGGAACCCUGAUCCAGCCAUGCCGCGUGUGUGAAGAAGGCCCUCGGGUUGUAAAGCACUUUCAGUGAGGAAGAACGCCUGGUGGUUAAUACCCAUCAGGAAAGACAUCACUCACAGAAGAAGCACCGGCUAACUCCGUGCCAGCAGCCGCGGUAAUACGGAGGGUGCGAGCGUUAAUCGGAAUUACUGGGCGUAAAGCGCGCGUAGGUGGCUUGAUAAGCCGGUUGUGAAAGCCCCGGGCUCAACCUGGGAACGGCAUCCGGAACUGUCAAGCUAGAGUGUAGGAGAGGAAGGUAGAAUUCCCGGUGUAGCGGUGAAAUGCGUAGAGAUCGGGAGGAAUACCAGUGGCGAAGGCGGCCUUCUGGACUGACACUGACACUGAGGUGCGAAAGCGUGGGUAGCAAACAGGAUUAGAUACCCGUGUAGUC